RNAcentral lists this transfer RNA (92 nucleotides) under Neomicrococcus aestuarii. Its description in RNAcentral is "tRNA-Ser". Lineage: Bacteria; Bacillati; Actinomycetota; Actinomycetes; Micrococcales; Micrococcaceae. The record is from RNAcentral.
CGCGGAACUUUGAGGUAUUCCAUCUCUCAAGUGUACUUUGCGCACGACUCAUAAUCGUGAGGUCGCGGGAUCGAGUCCCGCCACCGCUACCA